AUUGAACGCUGGCGGCAGGCCUAACACAUGCAAGUCGAGCGGAUGAAGGGAGCUUGCUCCUGGAUUCAGCGGCGGACGGGUGAGUAAUGCCUAGGAAUCUGCCUGGUAGUGGGGGAUAACGUCCGGAAACGGGCGCUAAUACCGCAUACGUCCUGAGGGAGAAAGUGGGGGAUCUUCGGACCUCACGCUAUCAGAUGAGCCUAGGUCGGAUUAGCUAGUUGGUGGGGUAAAGGCCUACCAAGGCGACGAUCCGUAACUGGUCUGAGGGGAUGAUCAGUCACACUGGAACUGAGACACGGUCCAGACUCCUACGGGAGGCAGCAGUGGGGAAUAUUGGACAAUGGGCGAAAGCCUGAUCCAGCCAUGCCGCGUGUGUGAAGAAGGUCUUCGGAUUGUAAAGCACUUUAAGUUGGGAGGAAGGGCAGUAAGUUAAUACCUUGCUGUUUUGACGUUACCAACAGAAUAGGCACCGGCUAACUUCGUG
This 484-nucleotide ribosomal RNA is filed under the name uncultured bacterium. RNAcentral's name for it is "partial 16S ribosomal RNA". It matches the Rfam family "Bacterial small subunit ribosomal RNA", at positions 30 to 507 of the family's 1533-position model. The record is from RNAcentral.